ACCCAUUGUGCCCAGUACCACUCACCAGUACCUGCUCAGAGCUUGCCUAACACCAGGAGUAAUUUGCUUUGUGAGGGUUAGAUACACAGCCUCCUGAGUCAUGACAGAAAAUGCAAAAUGGCCAAGAGGGAAGAGUAAACCUCUCACUCUUUUCUCUUUUCUCCUAUUUUGCCACUAAGAAACUGAAAACAGUUUGGGGGAAUUCUGAAUUCUCCAAAUCCCAAGGAUGCCCUUGGACUUGAACCCACUGGACCAGCUGUCCUUCUCUCGUUGAGUUUGUCCAUGCUGUUCUCCAGCCAGCUGAAAUGCUUUAAGGCUGGAAGGACAUAAUCUGCAAAGGCCACGGGAAUCUUUUUGUGGCAAGCACCAGCGAGGAGAAAAUUGGCAAGAAAUGAUGUCCUUGUGUGCUCAGGGAUGGCAUAAUGAUAGAUCUCAUGCAGCUCAGAGGAUUCUGCUAUUUAUUUAGGAGUGGUUUGAAGCCUCUGGAUCUAAUCACCAAGUCCAGACCACACUGGGCUGACUCAGCGCAUGGCACAAGAAGGGCAGGGGGGUUGGCAGGUCGGCACUUGGGAAAAGACACUCAGAACUGGGAAGCCUGCCUCCACAUUUGUCAUCAAAAGUUGGGCUGCAGAAGGAGCAAACACUUCUGGUAGCUGCUUUGGACAAUAAAACCUGGAAAGAUGCAAGUUCCAGGGGUUUCCCUGGCCAAGAGAAAAAAGAAAUACAAGGGGAAAAAAAAAGAGAAUCUGUCUUUCACUCAUCUCUUCUGCAAAGAGAAAUUUGCAAGCAUCACACUUUCUAGCCUGUGGCCCAGUUCUGUGAUUGUCUUUUGAAUUCUCAGUAUCAUUCACCAUCAUCCAAGGAAUGCAAACUCUAGACCAAGGAGUCCAUUCUGACAAUGAUCUUUACCACCGCCAUCUCCAAAUACCUACUGGAUUUGUAUAAACACUGUUUAACAGGCCUUUUUUGUUUUCCUGAAUAAAUACAGUGUUGAA
Long non-coding RNA from Serinus canaria (Common canary), 995 nucleotides. RefSeq lists it as uncharacterized. The record is from RefSeq and is a predicted model, not a curated record. The transcript is spliced from 3 exons. Lineage: Eukaryota; Metazoa; Chordata; Aves; Passeriformes; Fringillidae.